Molecule: small RNA, 507 nt
Filed under: Pongo abelii (Sumatran orangutan)
Lineage: Eukaryota; Metazoa; Chordata; Mammalia; Primates; Hominidae
Description: processed transcript
Source: RNAcentral
GUAUAUGGGAGAUGGACAACCUUGGGUAGACAGACAGACGUGGGGAAGGGAUGAUUGGAGGAGGUGGAGGAGAGAGUGAUUCUGCCCAGCCAGGGGUGAUGUGGACAGUCAGCUUCCGAAUCAGGGUAGAGAAAGGUCACCACUAGCUAGCAGGGGAGAAGUCAGUAUGGAGGAGGCGGACCUUGAGGGAGAGUAGGAAUUGGAUUGCAAGAGGAAGGAGAGCCUUCUGGCCAGCGGCAGCCAGCAGCAGUGGGGGAGGCCGGAAUGAGCUGGCUGGAGAGGGGGCUGGGGCAUAAGGAGGGGCCUGCCUGUGAAGAUCAGAUGGGCCCGGCUGCGGAGGGCCAGGCAUGCCCGCCGGCAGUGCAGCUGGUCCACGGGAAGCAUCUGGAGUGGCUGGGAAUGGGUGCAGGAGCAGUGCCGCGGGAGCACAGGUCUCUUUCCCGGGGCGGCUCACCUGGUGUCUUAGUUCCUGCAAGCCUUGAAAAGAUCUUUUGAGGUCGAGGAGGU